CUCUCACUUAACACACAAGCCUCAAAUCCAAUUACAAAACAAAUCCCAAUGAUAAUAAACAAAUUCAGAUGAAAAAUGAAAGAAAAUCAAACAUAUAUAUUAAAACCUUUAAUUUCAAACAUAAAAAUUCUAUACCUAAUAAAGAUUGAUAUUGGAGAUUGGAGAAGGGUUUAUUUGAGAUUGGAGGAGGUUUUUUAUUUAUUGAAGCAUACAGUAAACUAUAAUCUAUAAACAUGUGCAGUUAGAGGUAAAGGACUACUACAUAAUUUUUGAAUUUAAAAUUUAAAAAAAAAAAAAAGGAAUUUUUGUGGGGCCCCAUGACCCCAUGUGAGUCCGCCCAUAUACACUGUUAAAACUCAGAUAUACGAAAUAUGAGCUAUUUAUCAACUGGAUCAUUCAUAGAUCAUCUUAAAAACAUAACUUAACAACCCAAAAUUAAAAUACAUACUUCUGCAUGUCGGCUAGAAAUAUUGAAUAAGACGUACAUGGUCCAAUAUCUUCUUACCGAUAGAUCAAUACAAAAUUAAAUAUAUCACAAACCAACCCUUAUUACACACUGCACACAUAUUCACACCUGUGCACAUUUUAUUGGAAUACACGAUAAAAGCCUUAGAUAUCAAUGGUUGGUCUCGAUAUCUUUUGUGACUUCAAUGAAGUAAGCCAGCAAAGAGAUUGGAUGUUUCACAUCUUCAUUCCGCUUCUCAUACUCCAAAGUCCAUGUGACCAUGUCUCUGUUACGUUUGGUUUCAAUAUGGAGAGUUAUAAUGAAGUCCUUGUACUCUUCCAUCAAAUCACCUUCAAGCAUCUUGUAUUUGAUUAAUUUAUUUUCCUCCUCUAUGGCUUCAAUCACCUGUUUAGCUCUCCUUUCCUUUCCAUCUGUUAUAGCCACAAAUAAAUUUCAUCAAUUGCAAACUCAUAAUUGAUAGAGCUAACUAUCGUUAAAGGUUGACGUAUAAAAUGUUCAUUCUAAGAGCAUGAUCACAA
Molecule: long non-coding RNA, 984 nt
Filed under: Olea europaea subsp. europaea
Lineage: Eukaryota; Viridiplantae; Streptophyta; Magnoliopsida; Lamiales; Oleaceae
Source: RNAcentral